This 4517-nucleotide long non-coding RNA is filed under the name Sus scrofa (pig). RNAcentral describes it as "lncRNA (ENSSSCG00065038790.1)". Lineage: Eukaryota; Metazoa; Chordata; Mammalia; Artiodactyla; Suidae. The record is from RNAcentral.
GGUUAUCUUUUGCAUAUGGUGCCUACUUAGAUAUUUUGGAGUGGCCAAAUUUUAAUCUUUGUGUUUCAAUAGUGAAUUUAAUCUUUUUUUAUUUGUAGUUGUAUAUGAAAUAUUUAGUCAUAUGAGCAUCACUGCAUGUCAUGCUCUGUUUAUUUCAUGCUUUCUUUGUUUCUUUUUCACUUGUCUUUCUCUAUACAGAUACUGUUUUUGCUUAGUUUCUGUUUUUGCCACCCUCUUUUUAUGUUUCUAGUGAUUACUUAAAAUUCACAUUUAAAAUGUACUAAGAAAGAUAGAUAGAUAAAUAGAGAUAGAUAGAUAGAUAGAUAGAUAGAUAGAUAGAUAGAUAGAUAGAUAGAAAACAUCUAUUGACCUCUAUGAAAGAUGAGAAACCUAGCAGGCUUUACUUCCUCAUCUCCUGCCAUCAACCCCAUUCCACCUCUUUUUAAUAAAAGAUCAUCUGCAUUCUUAGGUCCCAUUUGGUAUUAAUGCAUAAUAUGCAGCUUCCCUUAAAUUUUUUAAAAUACUUGCAUGAAUUUUUAAGCUGUUGCUCAAAUAAAGCAAUGUUCAAAUAGUUUCAAGGCUUACUGGCUGACAUUUUAUACCACAACUUCCUCAUUUUUGUGAUCUCUAUUUUAAUUAAUCUCUUAUUUGGUAAAUUUUUGUUUGUUUGUUUUUUUAAUCAGAAGUGAAUGUUGACAGUGUAUUUUCUGAAAGUCUGCAUACGAGAAAAGAAAUUUCUGUUGCCAAAUCACAUGACCAAUAAUCUGCCUGGUAUGGGAUUUUUCAGUGGCAAUAUUAUUUCUCAAAAAUACUAUUUUUCUGUUUUGUUCCCAGGCAUCUAGCAAUGGAGGGUUAAUUCUUAUGCCCUGCUGGGUUAUGAUAUUAACCUUUUGAAAACAUAUUUUAGGUCAUAGAUCCAGUUGUCCUCAGAAAAAAAGUGAGGUUAUCAGAUCCCUGCAUAAUUCAAGCAGUGCCUUUGCCUCUCUACUAAUUCUUCCCUGUUGUCUCUGAGUAACAGGCUAUGGCUAACUGGCUGCUCAUACCAGAGAGAGGGCAUGGCAACACUGGGGUCUAUCUGCAUCAGGAGCCAAUCUUCAUGCUUUCAACUCUCCACUUGGUUUGAACUGCCUAUGACCACAACAAAUCCUGCCACCUUCUAAAUCUAUUGGUGGAGCCCCAAACCACAUGUCUGAAAAAGAGAAAAGCAAUUCAGGUGUCAUCCUACAAGUCUACUUUGCCUGCAUCAUUCCACUCCUGAUUUAAGUAAUAAAAAUAUUUCACUUCCUAUCCUCUUUCCAUACUCAUGCAUAUUUCUUUUUUUUUUUUUUUUUUUUUUUUUUUUUUUUUUGUCUUUUUGCCUUUUCCGGGGCUGUUCCCUCGGCAUAUGGAGUUCCCAGGCUAGGGGUCUAAUCGGAGCUGCAGCCACUGGCCUACGCCAGAGCCACAGCAACACAGGAUCCGAGCCGCGUCUGCAACCUAUACCACAGCUCACGGCAAUGAUGGAUCCUUAACCCACUGAGCGACACCAGGGAUCGAACUUGCGUCCUCAUGGUGUGGCCCUAAAAAAAAAGAAAAAAAAAUCCUGUCUGAAUAAUUUCUCUUCAAAGUAUAGAUUGAAAAUUUCUAUUUUGAAUUGAUCAGUAAAAACCAAGACAACUUAACCCUUUUAACAAAGGUUUUGUUUCUGUGGUAUUUUAUCUUCUUGAAUCUUUAUGUGGGUUUUUUGAGCUUUUUUAUGACUUUGAACAUAGUUAUUUCUAUUUAUCAAUGUGAAUUUGGUUUUUUAAAUUUUAUUAAAGUAUAAUUGAUUUCCAAUGUUCCUUCAAUUUCUGCUGUACCGCAAAGUAACUCAGGCACAUAUAUAUAUUUUAUAUAUAUAUAAAAUUUUCCACACUAUCUUCUGUCAUGUUCUAACACAAGAGACUGUAUACAGUUCCUUGUGCUAUACAGGAUGACACCUUACCUAUCCGUUCUAAAUGCAAUAGUUAACCUCAAACUCCCCAUCCAUCCCCUUAUUGAGUGCAUAUUUCAGCCAUAAUUUUUCCCAAGAUUUUCAUGUGUGCUACCUCACUUCAUCUAAGAGGGCCCCCCAAGACAAGAUCAUUAUCAUUGUUUCAUGGAUGAAAAAACUGAGACCAGACAGCUCUCAAGUUCAUCUCACUGUCAAAUGAACUUCUACUACAAGCAUUCUGGAUGGACGGGGAAAGAGAGACCCAAUCAUGAGUACGAAAAUAUUGGCCUAGCACAUAGUGAUGCUAUGAAAAAAAUAUAGGCAUGUUUUAUUUUAUUUAAAUAAAUACCACUGUUAGGCACUGUUCUAUUUGUAAAUAAAUAUCCAUAAUGAACAAAUAUCAACUCAUUUAAUUUGCAGAACAUGGUGAGAUAAGUACUAUUAUUAUCUCCACUUUACAGAUGAGAGAACUGAGGCACAGAGAAAUGAUAACAUGUUCCAGUAAACUCAGUGAGUGAUAAAGUAGAAUUUCAGAUCCCAGCAGUCAGGCUUCAGUGUCCAUGCUCAUCAUCAUCAUGCUAAAAAUCAAGGUUAAGAGAGCAGAAACAAGUCUCUACAGAGCAUUAACAAGUAAUGCGAUGCUUCAUAAUGCUUUCUGCAGAUUUGAGGGUUUUGAUGUUUGCAUAUAGCUUAUCUCAUUGAGAAUAACAAUGCUCUAUGCACUUCUGCUCAGGUUUUUCAAAAGUAUGAUAAAGGAUGAGAAUCAAUGACUGGCAAGGGAAAUUAAAAUGAAUGUCCAUGGGCUCUCUUGCUUGGGAAGGAUAUUUUCGAAAAAUGUAUUAUUCAUUUGGGGGAUGACAACAUCUGAGUGAACACCAUCCAUCAAAUAUUAAAUUUGAAAUGCAAAGGGUAUCCAGGAUAUACACUAUCCAGAAGUAUUUUCCUGCAGAAAAAUGUUAAAUCAUCCAAAAUUCUAACCUGAAGAUACUACUUCUUUCACACUAAUAAAGAGUUGUUUAUUUUGAAAAAAGUAAAAUAAAUUCCAUCUCAUGUGAUACACUGUUAAAGGUGGCUCCAGAAAAUGUAUUUUAUGCAUUUGUUUUUAUUAUAGUUGAUUUACAACGUUCUGUCACUUUCUGCUGUACAGCAAAGUGACCCAGUCACACACACACACACACACACACGCAUAUUUUUUUUCUCACAUUAUCCUCCAUCAUGUUCCAUCACAAGUGACUAGAUAUAGAUCCCUGUGCUAUACAGAAGCACCUCAUUGCUUACUCACUCCAAAUGCAAUAGUUUGCAUCUACUAAUCCCAAGCUCCCAGUCCAUCCCAUUCCCUUCCCCUUCCCCUUGGCAACCACAAGUGUGUUCUCCAUGUCCAUGUGUUUGUUUCUUUUAUUUAGAAAGGUUCAUUUGUGCCAUAUAUUAGAUUCCAGAUACAAGUGAUCUCAUAUGGUAUUUGUCUUUAAAUUUAUUCUUUUCAUUUUUCUCCAUUUUUGUGGCUCCCUGCUUGUCCUUGGGAAUUUGUUUCUUUAACCACUUUAUCAGUCGGUGUCUGCCCCCUGUGGUAAACUGAGGAGUCAGCAGUCUUCUGUGUUUUUCAGUUCAGGUUACAGAAUGUGCUUGUUGAGAACCUUAGAAUUUCAGGAGCUUUUUAGGGUGUGGCAGGGCCAGGAGAGGAUUAGGGGAGGGGGACACAGCACUCAGAAUGUCCCAUGCUUCUGAGGGAGCUAGAAUAUUGCAGGGCCCCACUGUGGCAUAUUUCCUGGGCACCUGUGACCACAGCUGUGAAAACGCUGAUGCAGGAAAUAAUCACUGUGGGUUACAGAGCUUGUGACUUCCGUGGGAAACCUUAGGUGUUUAAUAUUUUACCUCAUUUACAAAUGGCUUUUAAAUUACCUAGUUAAAAUUCAGUUAUGCCAACAAAUAGAAUGCCUUUUUUGGUCCAUAAUGCUACUAUUCAGGCAGUGUCUUUAUUAAAAUUUGUUGAUACAACAUAUAUAUGUGUAUGUAUGUAUAUAUGUGUGUGUGUGUAGGUAUAUAUAUGUAUGUGUAUAUAUACAUAUAUGGAAUACAUUCAUAAGCAGUCUGGAGAGAAUAUGAGGUUAAAGGAGGUGGCGAAGCAAAAAUUGGAGUUCCCUUGGUAGCUCAGUGGAAACAAAUCUGACUAGUAUCCAUGAGGAUGCAGGUUCAAUCCCUGGCCUUGCUCAGUGGGUUAAGGAUCCAGCGUUGCUGUGAGCUGGGGUGUUGCUCAGACGUGGCUCAGAUCUGGCGUUGGCUGUGGUGUAGGCCUGUGGCUACAGCUCUGAUUUGACCCCUAGCCUGGGAACUUCCAUAUGCUGUGAGUGCAGCCCUAAAAAGACCAGAAAAAAAAAAAAAGAAGGAAGAAUGUAUCAAUGCUGACUCUGAAUGAAUUUAUUUCACCACUACUCAAGAGUUUCUGCUUUGUUUUUUACUAAGACAACAUUCUAGUUAUGGUGAAAUACCAUUGACUUCACCUUGGGAAUGGAAUUAAAAUACCUGAUUCAAAUUAAAUGUAAUGGGAAGAAGCAGGCUAGCUCAUAGC